ACGAACGCUGGCGGCGUGCCUAAUACAUGCAAGUAGAACGCUGAAACUUGGUGCUUGCACCGAGCGGAUGAGUUGCGAACGGGUGAGUAACGCGUAGGUAACCUGCCUGGUAGCGGGGGAUAACUAUUGGAAACGAUAGCUAAUACCGCAUAAGAGUAGAUGUUGCAUGACAUUUGCUUAAAAGGUGCAAUUGCACCACUACCAGAUGGACCUGCGUUGUAUUAGCUAGUUGGUGGGGUAACGGCUCACCAAGGCGACGAUACAUAGCCGACCUGAGAGGGUGAUCGGCCACACUGGGACUGAGACACGGCCCAGACUCCUACGGGAGGCAGCAGUAGGGAAUCUUCGGCAAUGGACGGAAGUCUGACCGAGCAACGCCGCGUGAGUGAAGAAGGUUUUCGGAUCGUAAAGCUCUGUUGUAAGAGAAGAACGAGUGUGAGAGUGGAAAGUUCACACUGUGACGGUAUCUUACCAGAAAGGGACGGCUAACUACGU
Molecule: ribosomal RNA, 495 nt
Filed under: uncultured bacterium
Lineage: Bacteria
Description: partial 16S ribosomal RNA
Rfam family: Bacterial small subunit ribosomal RNA
Source: RNAcentral